AUGAUUGGGGGGACAUGGCGAUGGCUAGCUCCACCAGAAGGGAUGGUGAAAAUCAAUGUUGACGGAGCAGUCGCGCGACAGAAGCGUGGAGGAGCAGUAUCUGCGGUGUGCCGAGACCAGACGGGACUAUAUCUUGGUUCGUCGGCAGUAGUUUUUCGAAGCAUCACUGAUCCCACGACUCUGGAGACCUUCGCGUGCAGGGAAGCGCUGGCGCUGGCGCUGGAUCUUCAGGUGACUAAUAUGAAGGUGGCCUCGGCCUGCAAGGGUGUGGUACUGGACAUACACGAGGGAACGAGGGGUCCACACUCGGCCAUUGUACAUGAAAUAAUGCAACGUAGGAGUUCUUUUGAGUUAGUUUUUUUUUUGCUUUUGAGAGUAGAAACAAUAAUUUCGAGGCUCACAAUCUCGCCAAGUUCGCCUGUAAUUUAG
Molecule: ribosomal RNA, 429 nt
Filed under: Triticum aestivum (bread wheat)
Lineage: Eukaryota; Viridiplantae; Streptophyta; Magnoliopsida; Poales; Poaceae
Description: partial small subunit ribosomal RNA
Source: RNAcentral